ACCAACGACCAUACCGCGUUAAAUACACCGGUUCUCGUCCGAUCACUGGAGGUAAGCAACGUCGGGCGUAGUUGGUACUUGGAUUGGUGAUCGCUUGGGAACACUACGUGCCGUUGGCA
Cinara cedri is the source of this 119-nucleotide non-coding RNA. NCBI's taxonomy places the organism in Eukaryota, Metazoa, Arthropoda, Insecta, Hemiptera, Aphididae. The record is from the annotation of a GenBank genome assembly.